Molecule: ribosomal RNA, 278 nt
Filed under: uncultured bacterium
Lineage: Bacteria
Description: partial 16S ribosomal RNA
Rfam family: Bacterial small subunit ribosomal RNA
Source: RNAcentral
UGCCAGCCGCCGCGGUAAUACGGAGGGGGCAAGCGUUGUUCGGAAUUACUGGGCGUAAAGGGCGCGUAGGCGGUUUGUAAGUCGGAUGUGAAAUCCCAGAGCUCAACUCUGGAACUGCAUUCGAAACUAUGAGACUAGAGUCCGGCAGAGGGUGGUGGAAUUCCCCGUGUAGAGGUGAAAUUCGUAGAUAUCGGAAGGAACACCGGUGGCGAAGGCGACUUCCUGGGCCAAUACUGACGCUGAGGCGCGAAAGCGUGGGUAGCAAACAGGAUUAGAUA